This 28-nucleotide non-coding RNA is filed under the name Homo sapiens (human). The record is from RNAcentral. Lineage: Eukaryota; Metazoa; Chordata; Mammalia; Primates; Hominidae.
AACAGUUGUACAAUCCAAUGCAGCCGUC